This 253-nucleotide ribosomal RNA is filed under the name uncultured bacterium. RNAcentral describes it as "partial 16S ribosomal RNA". It matches the Rfam family "Bacterial small subunit ribosomal RNA", at positions 524 to 776 of the family's 1533-position model. The record is from RNAcentral.
UACGUAGGUGGCAAGCGUUACUCGGAAUCACUAGGCGUAAAGCGCAGGUAGGAGGUUUGAUAAGUCUGUUGUGAAAGCUCCCGGCUUAACUGGGAGAGGUCAACGGAAACUGUCAGGCUAGAGUGCGGUAGAGGUAGCUGGAAUUCCCGGUGUAGCGGUGAAAUGCGUAGAUAUCGUAAGGAAGACCAGUGGCGAAGGCGGGUCUCUGGACAGUUCCUGACGCUGAGGCACGAAGGCCAGGGGAGCAAACGGG